GAUGGAGACAGACAGACGACAGGAGACAGAUAGACCUUUGCUGACUAGCCAGAAUAGUCUACUUGGCAAGUCCCAGGCUGGCAGGAGACUCUCAGAAAAAUAAGGUGGGUGGUGACUGAGGAACAACAUCCAAGGCUAACUUGUUUUCAUUAACCAGCAUGCACUAGUGUACCCAUACAUGCAUACACACAUGCAUACACACACACACAUGCACAUAUGUACACACCCGUGCACAUGAAUGCACACACCCACAAUGAGAGAAGUAUAAGAAGCUGCUGUCUAUCAAUAAACUAACAACUUGAUAAAUAAUUCUGCAUAUUAAAUUGUGACAUUUAUUAUAUGAAAGUCUUCCCACUGCAGGCCAGCUAGGGAAGCAGGUAGGCUAAGUGCAGAUCUUCACCUCUUCCUCUGCUUCUCCAAAUCCAGUCCCCCAGUCUCACUCCCAGCUCUGCAGGAUACCAUCUGCUGAAGUCUCCCCUCCCACUUCUCCUCAUCUCCAGUAGACCAUACAGACCUUCAUCUCCUAACUUCCCUCCUACUACUCAUUGUUUUAUCCCUGCCCCCAAUGUGGGCGAACAAUCCUUGGGAACCUGCAGCCCACUCUAGGCAGGGAAGCAGGUAGGAUAACUGCAGAUCUUCAAUCAUCUUUUCUUCUGCUGUGGCUUCUCCUCACUCUCUGCUCCCAUUCCCAGGGGAUUAAGCAUAUCCUGGUGGAAUGCAUUGCUUUCUUCCCUCCUUUGGACUUCUCAGCCUCCACACCUAUCCCAUCCCCACUUCUAAAUGUCAGCUCCCAAUACUUUGAAAAACAUUUUACUAGAAAUCCCCGUGGCCACACCUAUCAGGAUUCCAAAAGAAUUUCCUACCAGGCAAUAUACAACUACCAUACCCUUCUAAGAAGCGGGUAGGAAACAGAAACCCAGGAACAAAACACCCACCCAACAAAAACAGGACCUGAUAUGAGCACCUAGAAUGACAGUCUACCCAAUCUCAGAUGCCUAGAUGCCAGAGUGAAAUCACAAUCAACAGCCAGGAUAAUAUAUCUCCACUAGAGUCCAGCAACCCUACCACAGCAGUCCCUGGGCACUGCAACACAGCUGAAGCACAAGAAAAACAUCUUAAAAUAGCCUUUAUGAAUAUGAUAGAGGUCCUUGUACUGACUAGUUUUGCGUCAACUUGACACAGCUGGAGUUAUCACAGAGAAAGGAGCUUCAGUUGAGGAAAUGCCUCCAUGAGAUUCAACUUAAGGCAUUUUCUCAAUUAGUGAUCAAGGGGGAAAGACCCCUUGUGGGUGGGACCAUCUCUGGGCUGGUAGUCUUGGUUCUAUAAGAGAGCAGGCUGAGCAAGCCAGGGAAAGCAAGCCAGUAAAGAACAUCCCUCCAUGGCUUCUGCAUCAGCUCCUGCUUUCUGACUUGCUUGAGUUCCAGUCCUGACUUCCUUGGUGAUGAACAGCAGUAUGGAAAUGUAAGCCGAAUAAACCCUUUCCUCCCCAACUUGUUUCUUGGUCAUGAUGCUUGUGCAGGAAUAUAAACCCUGACUAAGACAGUCCUUAAGGAGGAAAUGAAUAAAUUCCUUAAAUAAACUUCUGAAAACAACAUGGGAAGAAAAUGAAAAACAAAACAAAACAAAACAAACAAACAAACAAGCAAACCAGUUCAUGACUUGAAAGUAGAAAUAAAUAAAGAAAACAUAAGCUGAGGUAAAACUGGAAAUGAAAAUCUAGCAACUCCAACUGGAACCUUAGAGACAAACAUUACGGACAGAAUACAAGAGAUGGAGAGAGAACCUCAGGCACUGAAGGCAUGGCAGAAGACACGAAUACCUUGGUCAAAAAAAAAAUAUUAAUCUAAAAGAAUCUGGGCAUAAAACAUUCAGGAAAUCUUAGACACUGUGAAAAGAUCAAAUCUAAGAAUAAUAGC
RNAcentral lists this long non-coding RNA (1916 nucleotides) under Mus musculus (house mouse). Its description in RNAcentral is "long non-coding RNA chr13:28968977-28970893". Lineage: Eukaryota; Metazoa; Chordata; Mammalia; Rodentia; Muridae. The record is from RNAcentral.